AAUCAACGCUGGCGGCGUGCCUAACACAUGCAAGUCGCGCGCGAAAGGGGGGCGAACUCCCAAGUAGAGCGGCGAACGGGUGAGUAACACGUGGGUAAUCUACCUUCGAGUGGGGAACGAACAACCGGGAAACUAGGUGCUAAUUACCGCAUAACAUCGUCGGGGCGUUCGGUUCUGACGCUCAAAGACUGGGGAGUCGCAAGACCUAGCGCUUGAAGAUGAGCCCGCGUCCGAUUAGCUAGUUGGCGGGGUAAUGGCCCACCAAGGCUUCGAUCGGUAGCCGGCCUGAGAGGG
This 294-nucleotide ribosomal RNA is filed under the name uncultured bacterium. Its description in RNAcentral is "partial 16S ribosomal RNA". It matches the Rfam family "Bacterial small subunit ribosomal RNA", at positions 32 to 300 of the family's 1533-position model. The record is from RNAcentral.